UAGUCAUAUGCUUGUCUUAAGGAUUAAGCCAUGCAUGUCUCAGUACAAGCGAUCUUGUACCGUGAAACUGCGAAUGGCUCAUUACAACAGUUAUAGUUUAUUUGAUCGUGCGGAGCUACGUGGAUAACCGUAGGAAUUCUAGAGGUAAUACAUGCACCGUCGCCGAAGAUCUAACCAUAGACUUUGGCGGGAUUUAUUAGAUCAAAAACCAAUCGCUUCCUGUUUUUUUUUACAGUAAGCGUGGCGGGAUGAAUCAUAAUAACUUAACCGAAUCACAUGGCCGUGAUUUUGGCCGGUGAUAAAUCAUUCAAAUUUCUGCCCUAUCAACUUUUGAUGGUAGGGUAGUGGCCUACCCUGGUGUUGACGGGUAACGGAGAAUUAGGGUUCGAUUCCGGAGAGGGAGCCUGAGAAACGGCUACCACAUCCAAGGAAGGCAGCAGCCGCACAAAUUACCCAAUCCUG
Molecule: ribosomal RNA, 462 nt
Filed under: uncultured marine eukaryote
Lineage: Eukaryota
Description: SSU rRNA
Rfam family: Eukaryotic small subunit ribosomal RNA
Source: RNAcentral